CCAUGCGGGCGGACGGGGGCGCCGGCGGGGCGGCGAGGGGCGCGGCGAGCGGGCAGUCACGUAGCCGCCCGCGGACCGGCUCGCUCUGCGCCACGUAGCGCGCGCCUCGCAAAGGUCAGCGCCGCAGGAGAUCCACUCUGUACUCCUGGUGACCCUCCUCUCUGCCCUGGCACUUUGACCUUUGUCAACUACAUCAGCAGACUCUCUGACUUCCAGCUGGACUUAGCCAACAGAACUUUCCAGCAGGAGAUUGAAAGGUAGGAGGAUAGUGAGGUCUGUAGUUUAUUACCCCCACUCCCUCUUUGUGGUUCACCUCAGACUGGCCUUCUCUCUCUCUACUGAAGGCCACAGAUGCUUCAGAAGCCCUCUACAUCUGCCUCUAGCUCCCCAGUCCUGUCUCUCAACCAGUUAUUGCCCCUUUUCCUUUGCUUCCUCAGGCCUAGGCAAGGUCAUGGCCCCCCACUGUUCAAGCUUCAGGGCACUGUCCCAUCUCUUUGCUUUCCCUAAACUCUGCCCACACCUUUAUUAGAGUCUUUUCAUUAAGCUUUCUUCCCCUUGCCCUGGUUUUCUGCCAGGACCCUAGCUCCUACACACCUACUCUGCAUCUCCCCUUGGAAUUCUCACGGUCAUCACAAACAUGACGUGUCCACAACCUAACUUUUUUUUUUUUUUUUUAAGAUUUUAUUUAUUUGACAGAGAGAGAGAUCACAAGUUGACAGAGAGGCAGGCAGAGAGAGAGGGGGAAGCAGGCUCCCCACUGAGCAGAGAGCCCGAUGCAGGACUCGAUCCCAGGACCCUGAGAUCAUGACCUGAGCCAAAGGCAGAGGCUUAACCCACUGAGCCACCCAGGCGCCCCCACAACCUAACUUUUGAUUUCCCCCCCUGCCUCUCCUUCUCCCUGCUUUCUGCCUUCUUUGUGAAUGGUAGCACCAGCAGGCUGGGCGCACAAGGCAGACGCAGUGGGAGUCGACAUGAUUUCCCAUCUCCCUCGGUCCCACUGUCCUCUCUCUCACCCAUCACUAUGUCUGGAAGAUCAGCUUCACACAGCCGGCUGCUCCUGACUCGAGUUCUCAGCCUAUGUAUUACCUUCUGGAAAAAAUCUUCCUCUCCACAACCAGUUAAGGGCCCUUCAUCCUUUUAUCCUCUCUCCACUUGUCAAUUUGUUUGCUUCUUAGGAAAUGAUACCACUUCCUAAUAUCACUUAAGAAGUGAUUAUCUAGUUCACUUGAGAGUUAUAUCCUUUUGGUAGAACAGGAUGACUGAGCUACAAAGGACAAUGACUCUAACUCUUCAGAUCAUCCGGCUUGGAGGCCUGUGUUCCCCGAGGCUGAUUGAACACGGCACAGUUACUCUCUAAGGUUCCAGACCUACGUCCAUGCUACCCUCGUCAAGAUUCAGUACCCCACAAAGCCUCAUGGAAAAUGAACCAUUGGCUCUACCUAUCUCGUCUACGUUGGCAGAAAUAAAUUACAUGACAUCUUGGGUUCUGUAAGAGCCCCGUUCUACUGGCUCCAAGUCCAAGGACUUAUCCUUGACUGUACAGUUGUUUCAGAUAAACUCCACAUACAUAAACAACUUUCAAAAGAUGUGAUCUAGAUGCCUGAAAUGCCAGAUUCGUGAUUUAGUUACUUGGCCUAGUCGGUAAGCUGCAAGUUCAGAAAACAAAACGAACAAACAAAAAUCUAAAUGAAACAACACAUUUCUGAAUCAAAUUGCCUACCUUGUGUCAAAGUCCUCAUAUGCAUGGAAUCAGACGGAAAACAGAAAUAGAUCUAUGUGUUAUCUGAACUGAACUGAAAUGUUUGCCUUUUUGCUCCUUGUGAAGCAUUGGCUGAAAGAAACACCCAUCAUGUUUGAUAUAUGGAUUCAGAGCUGAGAAACCACCAUGGUGUGUAGGGUCCCCUGUGCAUUGGUUCUGUCUGCUUCAAGCUUCGGGCUUGAAUGACGCCAAGGGAAUCAUUACUGUGGAUGCUACCUUUGGGCGAGGAUUCAGGGAAACAGAGAGAGAUGGAGAAAGGCUAAAAUGAUACAAUAAAUGGUCCAUUCCAUGGACAUCAUUGAGUGUUAUGGACCAGGCAUGGCUUUAGGGUCUAUGUAUUGACUGUGGUUUGAACCUCAUUCCUCCUCAGUGACCCUCUUCCAAUCAUCUUCCAAAGACACUGGACAUUAUUUCCUUCCUGGACUGGUUAAAAGAAAAAAAAUCAACAACAAAGAGACCAGGAGUCAUGGCUGGAACUAGUGCCUAUUUUUCUAGAAGGCUCUCCUUGAGGUCCCAGCAAUUUCAGAGGCAUUUCCUUCACUUCUGGGUUCUAAAUUCUUAAGCAGGCUAUUCACCGUUAGAGGAGGAGCCCUUCUUCUAUGGAGAGCUGGUGAUUUGGACAUCCCAAGCUGCUUGAGUCCUGUCCCUGGGUGUGGUUAGGCCUUAGGAAACCAGGAUAGCAGGAAGACAGCUCAUGGAUUAUAGAGCUUUGUACAGUAGUCCCGUAUCUUCGAUUUUGCUUUCUGCAAUUUCAGUUACAUGCUGUCAGCCAUGGCCCAGAAGCCAAGAUCCUCCUUCUGAUGUGUCGUCUGGAGUUCAGCAGUAGCCCACACUAGGUCACAGCUCCUACACCCCCCACCGUACUUCUCCUCGUCACGUAGGGGAAGUGACGUCCCACCAUCACAAGAAGAAGGGCCUGUGCAGUACAAUAGGAGAUUUCGAGAGAGAGAGAAGCUACAUUCACAUAACUUUUAUUAUGGUGUAUCAUUAUAAUUGUUCUGUUUUCUUAUUUAUUAGUUAUCGUUAAUUUCUCACUGUGCCUAAUUUAUAAAUUAAGCUCUAUCAUAAGUGUGUAUGUAUAGUAUAUGUAGGGUUCAGGUUCACUAAAGUUCUGGAAUGUAUCCCCUGAGGAUAAGGGUGGGUGGGACCACCAUACAGUAUUUAUAUUAUUGCUACUGGGACUGGGGGCAGCCUCCAUGGUGGAGGAAGGUGUUACCUGAAGAGACCAGAGGUCACAGGUUCUUCAUAGUCUCAAGACUUACAUUUUUGCUGUUGGCCUACCAGAAUGGGGGGAAUGAAGUCCAAUCCCUGCAUUGUUCAGCUGAGCAAAUAGUGGGUCAGGGGUGUGUUUUGUCUGGGGAUACAUAUCUAAUCAAGUCAAUUCAUGGAGGCCUUACUGUGUGCCGAUGGUUAAUUUUAUGGAGUCAUCUUGGCUGGAGUGUGAGAUCCACUUGUUUGAUCAUACAUUAGCCUCUGUUUGCUGAGAAGAUUUUUUGGGGACAUGAUUAACAUUUAUUUGUUUAUUUACUUAUUUAUUUAUCGAGGGAGAGAUGGAGUGGGAAGGGUAAGAGAGAAUCUCAAGCAGGCUCCAUGCCCAAUUCAGAGUCCAACUUAGGGCUCGGCUCCACAACCCUGAGAUCAUGACCUGAGUGGAAAUCAAGAGUCAGACACUUAACUGACUGAGCAACCCAGGCACCCCUAGAUAUGAUUAAUAUUUAAAUGAGCAGACUUUGAGUAAAGCAGAUGUGCUCCAUCAUUAAUGAGUUGAAGGCCUUAAGAGAAAAGACUGGGACCCCCCUCACCCAAAGAGGAAGGAAUUCUGCCUCCAGAUUACAGAAUCAGUUCUUGGAAUCUCCAGUCGCCCAGCCGGCCAGCCUGCCCUGCAGAUUUUGAACUUGUCAACUCCCUCAAAUUGCAUGAGCUGAAAAUAAAUCCCUUUCUCUAGAAACAUCUUGUUGGUUCUGCUUCUCAGCAGAACCCUGAGUGAUACAUAUGGGAUGGGGAAAGUGGGAGACAGACAGGUGAUCAACACCUGGCUUUCAGGUACCCGGACUCUGCUUCGAUGGCCACUUAACCAGAUAAUACAGCAGAGUUGUUGGUCUCUCCACAGCCAUGUAAGUCCUGACAUCAUUGGGGAAUAAGUGAUUGUCUUCACACAUUCGGCUUUUGGAGUGACCAUUUUAUUUUAUUUUUAUUUAUUUAUUUUUUUAAAAGAUUUUAUUUAUUUAUUUGACAGAGGUCACAAGUAGGCAGAGAGGCAGGCAGAGAGGGAGAGAGGAGGAAGCAGGCUCCCUGCUGAGCAGAGAGCCCGACAUGGGGCUUGAUCCCAGGAUCCUGGGAUCAUGACCUGAACCGAAGGCAGAGGCUUAACCCACUGAGCCACCCAGGUGCCCCUGGGUGACCAUUUUAAAGUGCCACAAGCAAAAAGCCAAAUCAAAUCCAUCAAGAUGCCUUUGAAGGUACAGUAUUGCUCUUCUGAAGGAAAUAGCCUCACCCGAUGCGGGCAGCUGACUGCGGAAGCCAUCCGUCUGCCACUGUGCCAGUGGGAGCGCCAUGGGUUUGUCAAAUACGCGUGCUGUGUUCCUGCCACAUGCUCAGACUCUGUAUCCUGGGAAUUAAGCUGAGGAAAAUUUCUACUUCCUUGACAGCAACUGCCAGCACGUGCUUGCUUUAGUACACACUAUACAUGCAAAUCUGGUGUUCUCAGGAGAGCUGUGUGUAUUCUCUGUUGCUUGGCUGCGGAGAGACAAAGAAAAAGAACUAAAAUGUGAAAUCUCAGUUUUUAUCUAUCAUUAUCAAUGUUUACUACCUUCCAGGGAGGCCUUAGGUGGGAGUUACAAAAUAGGAUACGUUAUCAUCUCAAAACAAAUGAGCUGAUAUUACAUAGUACAAAUUAUAUUAGUUAUGACUUCAGUUCCUUUUAUGUCUCUUCUCCAUGAGUUUAUUUAUAUGGGAAAAGUGAAAUGGCAAAGUUGGCAGAAAAUAUUUGAACAAUUAAUAUUUGGAAUACAAAUACAGCUUUCAAUGUAUUCACUAAAAAACUUGUUUCUGAUCAGAUCUUUUUUUUAGUAUAUGUGCUGCCGAAGCAAGCACUGAUCAGAUCUUUUUUUAAAAGACUUUUUUAUGAGAGAGAGAGUGUGUGUGUGUGUGUGUGUGUGUGUCCCCGAGCGAGGGAGGGGAAGAGGGACAGAAUCUCAAGCAGGCUCCUGGCUGAGUGCAGAGCCCUACAUGGAGCUCGAUCUCACAACCCUGACAUCGUGACCUGGAGAUCAUGACCUGAGCCGAAACCAAGGUCAGAUGCUUAACUGAAUGAGCCACCCACGUGCCCCCUGAUCAGAUCUUUCUGAUUAUUGUCUUCUCUCCUCGCCUUCCUGCCACUGAGUCAGUCCGAUGGUGACAGCCAGUGGUUCAACAGGGUUCUCAAAGGGCACAAGGAAACACUCAGAGCAAGGGAUGGAGCCAACUCAAGGAGACGGAAAGAACAUUUGAAGAAACUAAGAGGUGAGCAGAUGCUUGCAGAAACCAAAGAGCUGGAGUUAAGGAUAGAAGCUGGCUAUAAACUGUGAAUCCCAGAUGAAUAGGGAUAAAGUGACCGAUCAGAAUGCACCCUGGCCUUCCUGCUUCACUGGACUGUGUGUGAAUUUACUGUAAAGUACUGGACGGUCAGAAGAAUGAGCAAAAGAAAACUAGACAGUCAUUCCUCAGCUUUCCUGUCUUCUUUAGGAUUUCCUGCUAGCUUUUGCCACCCUCAGCCUCCACCCACCCUGAUAACUACCACCUACCCCCAACUAAUCCGGUUAACAGACACUCAAAGUGCGUUACUCAUCAUUACGUAGGGUGCUUGCUGCUGGAUGGAACUGGGGGAGGCAGUGUGUGAGCCUCCUGGCUCCCUAUGCCUGACUCGCCCUUUCCUUGUUCAAACGUGUUGUUCCCUAAUGUGUUCCCCAGGGCCCCCAAGGGAAGGUUUGCUGUGAUUCAUGUGACUUUUAAGUGUGAUAGAAAUGCAGGACCAACUUGUUAAAGUAUUUAUGGGGAUCUAUUUUGGGGAGACAAAGUCUAGCCAAGACACACAUCGAAGUUCAAAAAGAAGACAGAGCAACAGUGAUGAAGAAGAUGUGGUCAUCAGGACGGAAGGACACUGAAGCCGGGAAACAUAAGACAAAGUCUUUCAUGUAUCUCAUUCCUGAGACACUUGUGAUAAGCCCCUGGAGAGUUGCUAAAUGUGGUGUAUACGUUGGGCUGUAAGCCCUUUAGAGCCAACCCCAAAAGGGGCCAUGCAAGAAGUUACAUGAUUGGGGAAGGGUGGUUACAGCGGAAGUACUGAUGCUCUUGGAAUAGAGAUUAGAGCAAAAACCACCCUUCCACUCUGUACAUGGCUGCCCCUCCCACCCCGCUGCCUCUGUGGAGUAGAGUGAACCACAUUUUCUAACACCUUUACAAUAAAAGUGUCAGUGAUCUGUAAAA
Long non-coding RNA from Mustela lutreola (European mink), 6223 nucleotides. RefSeq lists it as uncharacterized. The record is from RefSeq and is a predicted model, not a curated record. NCBI's taxonomy places the organism in Eukaryota, Metazoa, Chordata, Mammalia, Carnivora, Mustelidae. The transcript has 2 exons.